Molecule: transfer RNA, 64 nt
Filed under: Brephilydia jejuna
Lineage: Eukaryota; Metazoa; Arthropoda; Insecta; Coleoptera; Cerambycidae
Description: tRNA-Thr
Rfam family: tRNA
About the family: Transfer RNA (tRNA) molecules are approximately 80 nucleotides in length. Their secondary structure includes four short double-helical elements and three loops (D, anti-codon, and T loops).
Source: RNAcentral
GUUUUAAUAAUUUAAUAAAAAUACUGGUCUUGUAAACCAGAAAUGAGUUUCCACUCUUAAAUCA